Molecule: long non-coding RNA, 1234 nt
Organism: Leopardus geoffroyi (Geoffroy's cat)
Lineage: Eukaryota; Metazoa; Chordata; Mammalia; Carnivora; Felidae
Exons: 2
Source: RefSeq, a predicted model, not a curated record
GAAAGGGGCACAUUGUGCUACAGAAAGUGGCAGCCGAUAAUUUUUUUUUUAAGUUUGUUAUGGGAGAUUGGCUAAAUUAGUUUAUCUAGGAGUUCCCAUUGGGACUUCUUUUGAGAGGAUCUCCUGUAUGAAGGAAAAUGAGUUUCCUGGCAGACCCCCGUCACACCCCCCAAAAGCACAGAGUCAAGGGCUCCACAGAUCUCACACCUAUUCCCAGCAGAUGACCCAAGAUCUCACCAUUUUUCACUGGAUCCAAAGGUCCUACGACCUCUAGGUUCCAGGAAUUAGCUACACUCUAUUCAUUGCAGGAGGAUGAUUUUUUUUUUUUUCACUUUGAGAAAACCUCAAUGGGAUUUUAACCGAAGGGAAGCAAAGGUUUUCUUUUUAUAAAUUCGAUUAGUCUUUCCCACUUUCUGUACCUCAAGACAUUUCCUUUGGGAAGAAUUUUAUACCCAGAGACCCCCUUAGCGAGGCACUGUUGCAUGCGGGGCGCGGUGAAUUUCAGCGCAAGACGCUGCAUGUGGACGGAAAGCAAAAAUCGCGGGCACUUGCAGUCGCCAGCAAAGUCAGUUUGUGAAUGCUGCCGUGGGGAUGGCCCUGCCAGAGAAGGAAGAUGAAGUUUGCCGCGGGCAGGCUGUGUGGGACCUCUGGCUGGGAUGCGUGCGGGUGGUUACCAAGCCCGCCCUUCGCUCGCCACGGCUGACUUUCCCGCCGGAGCCGGCGCCGGGGCGCCUGGUCCCCGCGCUGCACCCGGCGCCGGUCUGGAGAUAGCCCUUGGCUGUGGGCGGCGGGAGUCCCCCUGAAAGUGCGCCUUUUCGCCGCCGGGACUUAGCUGCUGGGGAGCGAGCGCGCCGAGUGCGCACUGCGUCGAUCGACUCCGCCCGGACCGGGGGUACCCACCCGAGCCUGCUCCCCGAGGCCUCGGGUUCGAAGCCUCUCCCGUGGCGGAGGAGAGGUUGGGAUUUGAGCAGCAGCCGUUCGGUUAAGGAAGGAGUUUCUGAAACUCUCGGGAAAGCGAAGUCCCGGGGCGUGGAAAAUAAUCGAGCCGACGCUCUCCCGGCCACAGAGGGAAAGAAAACAAACAAGAAAUUAGCGGGGGACGCUGCGCACAGAGCGAGACGCCCGCCUCUACGCCGUCGAGGACGCAAAAGAACGAAAAAAGUUAUUAAAGUUUGGAUCCCCCCAAUUAAUUCGUCUCUGCUCGCCCAUUUUUAAUUAAACAUCGCGAAGCUGC